This 195-nucleotide unclassified non-coding RNA is filed under the name plant metagenome. Its description in RNAcentral is "partial contains small subunit ribosomal RNA, internal transcribed spacer 1, and 5.8S ribosomal RNA". The record is from RNAcentral.
UCUCCGUUGGUGAACCAGCGGAGGGAUCAUUACCGAGUUUACAACUCCAAAACCCCUGUGAACAUACCAUUUGUUGCCUCGGCGGUGCCUGCUUCGGCAGCCCGCCAGAGGUCCCAAACCCUUGAUUUUAUACAGUAUCUUCUGAGUAAAUGAUUAAAUAAAUCAAAACUUUCAACAACGGAUCUCUUGGUUCUG